This is a long non-coding RNA of Mastomys coucha (southern multimammate mouse), 1196 nucleotides long. RefSeq lists it as uncharacterized. Lineage: Eukaryota; Metazoa; Chordata; Mammalia; Rodentia; Muridae. The transcript is spliced from 2 exons. The record is from RefSeq and is a predicted model, not a curated record.
GGAGCCUCACCGUUUGGCUUCUGACACAGGGUAAUGCCUGCAGUAGGCUGCCAGUGUGAACAAAGAGGAAGAAAAUGAAAAGCAGGCCCAAACCACAGAGACACACCUGGUGGUUUGAGAGAAGGCGGCCUGGCGUCAGCCCACGCGAUGGCCUGGAGAAGUCACAUGAGUCAGUCAAGCACCAGGCUGUGAUCAGCUCUGUAAGGACCAUGGUCCAUCUCCCCAGGGCCCCGGGGACUCCUGUGCAGCAGAGAAGGGUCCUGCUUCCAUCCUCCAGAGCUUGAUCCAAAGAAAGUUCCUGCUGAAGAACCUAAGGAUACAGCGUGGUUGUUAGAAUGGCUGCCUAGCACACAGCCCGGAGCUACAGCGUGGCUAUUAGAAUGGCUGCCCAGCACACUGCCCGGUGCUACAUGAGCCAGUACACAUCGCGGCUUCCAUCUCGGCUUCCACGCGUUUGUGAUCCCAGCACUGGGGAAGAGGAGGCGAAGUAGAGGUAGGAGAAUCAGAAGGUCGACGUCAUCCUCAGCUACACAGUGGGUGUGAAGCCAGCCUAGGAUAUGUGAGACUGUCUCAAACAUUCUGUCCAGAAGCUGGAGAGAUGCUUCAGUGAUUAAGAGCACUGGCUACAUUUCUAAUCAACCAGAGUUUGAGUCCUGGUACCCACUGAGGGGGUCACAACUUGCUAUAACUCCAGUUCCAGGAGAUCUGAUGACUUUUUCUGGCCUCUGAUAUGCAAGUGGUGCACAGACAUACAUGCAGGUGAAACACACACAUAAAUAAAAUAAAAUACAGAUGGGCUGUGGUGUCUGGGCACCUCCUUCAUCUUGCCAGGGAUCGAGCCUCUGACUGCUUUGACCACGAAUCUAGAAAGGCCCCAGCUACCUUCUGGCCCUACUGCAGAUGGAAAUCCUACUGUUUAUCCCUCAAGCCAUUGGCUGUUGUGUGAGAAAAUGACUCUUAGCCGGAGAAUACCAUAGGUGGAGAAGAAUCCCAGCUGAAUCCAACCUCAUAGUUCCCACCAAACAGCCAGGAGUAUUGUGUGCCAAUAAGCCCUUCAGAUGAGUCUGCUGCCAGCCCAAUGCCACUCAGUCACCACUGCCACUACCCCAUGCCAGGGAGAGUCAAAGAUCUGCCCAGCUGACCUGGCCUGAAUUCCUGACCUGUAAAACCAAGAGAUGCGAUAAAAUGUUUGUCUU